This 459-nucleotide ribosomal RNA is filed under the name uncultured bacterium. Its description in RNAcentral is "partial 16S ribosomal RNA". It matches the Rfam family "Bacterial small subunit ribosomal RNA", at positions 338 to 795 of the family's 1533-position model. The record is from RNAcentral.
CCUACGGGUGGCAGCAGUGAGGAAUAUUGGUCAAUGGCCGAGAGGCUGAACCAGCCAAGUCGCGUGAGGGAAGACGGCCCUACGGGUUGUAAACCUCAUUUGUCGGGGAGCAAAUAGAGUCACGUGUGACUCAUUGAGAGUACCCGUAGAAAAAGCAUCCGCUAACUCCGUGCCAGCAGCAGCGGUAAUACGGAGGAUGCGAGCGUUAUCCGGGUUUAUUGGGUUUAAGGGGUGCGCAGGCGGAGGUGCAAGUCAGCGGUCAAAUUGCGCGGCUCAACCCCGUACUGCGGUUGAAACUGUAGCCCUUGAGUGCGCGAGAAGUAUGCGGAAUGCGUGGUGUAGCGGUGAAAUGCAUAGAUAUCACGAAGAACUCCGAUUGCGAAGGCAGCAUACCGGCGCGCAACUGACGCUCAUGCACGAAAGCGUGGGUAUCGAACAGGAUUAGAUACCCCUGUAGUC